GGUUAAGCGACUAAGCGUACACGGUGGAUGCCCUGGCAGUCAGAGGCGAUGAAGGACGUGCUAAUCUGCGAUAAGCGUCGGUAAGGUGAUAUGAACCGUUAUAACCGGCGAUUUCCGAAUGGGGAAACCCAGUGUGUUUCGACACACUAUCAUUAACUGAAUCCAUAGGUUAAUGAGGCGAACCGGGGGAACUGAAACAUCUAAGUACCCCGAGGAAAAGAAAUCAACCGAGAUUCCCCCAGUAGCGGCGAGCGAACGGGGAGCAGCCCAGAGCCUGAAUCAGUGUGUGUGUUAGUGGAAGCGUCUGGAAAGGCGCGCGAUACAGGGUGACAGCCCCGUACACAAAAAUGCACAUGCUGUGAGCUCGAUGAGUAGGGCGGGACACGUGGUAUCCUGUCUGAAUAUGGGGGGACCAUCCUCCAAGGCUAAAUACUCCUGACUGACCGAUAGUGAACCAGUACCGUGAGGGAAAGGCGAAAAGAACCCCUGUGAGGGGAGUGAAAUAGAUCCUGAAACCGCAUGCAUACAAGCAGUGGGAGCACCUUUGUGGUGUGACUGCGUACCUGUCUCUUAUACACACU
This 581-nucleotide ribosomal RNA is filed under the name Acinetobacter baumannii. Its description in RNAcentral is "partial 23S ribosomal RNA". It matches the Rfam family "Bacterial large subunit ribosomal RNA", at positions 1 to 625 of the family's 2925-position model. Lineage: Bacteria; Pseudomonadati; Pseudomonadota; Gammaproteobacteria; Moraxellales; Moraxellaceae. The record is from RNAcentral.